GUCCUAUUCUGCUUCUAAAUUUGGCAAUGAAGCAAAAACUUUCCCUAGAAUCUUACUUAUUCUAUUAUUACAGUAGGCUUCUUAGUAAUAGUAAAAAAUAAUUGUUCCCCUUCCAUCCAAAUUAUUACAUUGUUUUUGUUGGAAUAAUCUAAUCAAAUAAAUUGUGAUUACCCUUUGAAUAACACUCUGACUCUAUCUGGAAAGUGAGGUGUAAUAUAUGAGCAGAUAAUAUAGAAAAUGAAAUACAAACCAGGGGGUAUUGGUAGCCUCAAGGCUAUAUUCAGAGCACAGACAUGUUUACCCAAAAAAGGAUUUUUAAAAAUUUGAAUUAGUUCAGUUAAAAAUGGUGAGUUAAAAAAAAGUGUUGUUUUUAAACAUUUUUUGGUUUGGUGUCUCUAAAAUCGUGAGAAAGUCUAGCAACAUUAAAUUUUUAUUUUUGGGGGAUAGCAGUCAGAUGAAAAUGAGCUGUGCCCUUCAGACAGGUGGGCGGAAUAAUGACCUUCCAAGAUGUUUAUGUCAUAAUCCCUGGAACCUGUGACAUGGCUAAGGAAGAAUUAACAUUGCUAAUCAGCUGAACCUAAAAUGGGGAGAUUAUUCUAAGUUAUCAAGGUAGGCCCAGUCUAAUCAUGUGAGCUCUUAAUAUCAGAGUUGGGCAACAUGAAAACUCAGCCCUCCAUUGCUGGUUGUGAAGAUGGAGGAAGGAAACCAUGAGCCAAGGAAUUCAGUGGCUUCUAGAAGCUGGAAAUGGCACUCAGAUUAUAGCCAGCAAGAAAACACAGACCAUAGACCUAAGUUUCACAGAACUAAAUUCUGCCAACAACUCAAAUGGAGAGGAAAAGGAUUCUCUUUUAGAGCCUUCGGAAAGGGAUAAAGCCUGUUGACAUCUUGAUGAGACUGUAUUAGACUUCUGACCUACAGAACUGUAAGGUAUUUGUAUUGCUUUAAGUCUCUAAGUAUGUGGUUAUUUGUUAUGGCAGCAAAAGCAAAUACGCAGGCCAUAUACACCUUCUACAUCACCAAAGUUGUCACCACAACAAAGAAGACACGUAAAUGACUCAUAAACACAUAAGAUGCCUGACAUCAUUAGUCAAUAUUAAAAUGUAAUUUAAAUCACAAUAAAGUACUACUUCACGCUCAUGAGGCUGGCUGUAAUUAAAAUGAUAGAUGAAAACAACUGUUGGUGAGAAUAUGGAGAAACUGAACUAUCCUACAUUGCUGGUGGAAAUGUAAAGUGGUGCAGUCUCUUUGAAACAUAGUUGGCACUUUCUUCAAUAGUAAACAUAAAUGCGCCAAACAACCCAGAAAUUUCACUCCUAGUCAACUGGGGAGCUCAGUGAGAUUCUCCUGCUAUACUCUCAUCAGUUUUAAGCCAUUCGGAUUUGGAAGAUUUCUGAGCAAGAUGGCUGAGUGCUGAAUUUAACAGCCAAGAUGAUUCUCCAAUCUCUGUGCUUAUGUCUGCACACAUCAGAGACUCUCCUUUACCUAGCCCUGUUUAUUCCUGAACACAAAGUAAUUAAUACUUCAAAGUGUUAGGUAGCCGGGUAUCCAUCGCUUGCCUUCACUCCUCUGUAAGCAUCAGGGACCACAAAACACAGGUUUUAUUUAUUGCUGUAGGUUCCACAACAUGUGGCAGAGGGUGUGCUCACAACAGGAGCUGGUGAACCACCUAACACUGUGAGUGUAGACAUUGGCACAGGUGUGGAUGAUAAACUCAGGUAAGGGUACAAAUACAGUCUUAAGGCAAUGUACAUUUGAGCCUUUGUUUUUAGAGGGACUGCUUGAUAGACUUUCCAGCAGACCUAUACAAACCCUAGCAGCUAAGGUGCAAGGAUGCAGCUCCCUAUGCCCUGGGUGUGGUGUCUGUAGUCAUACUUCACCAGGCAGCCCCUCUCCUCCCCUUCCCUGGUGCCUCUUUGGCUGCUCUGUCUCUCUUCCCUGGCUUUGAACUUGUUGGCAGCCUCCAAUAACCCCUCUUCAAAGAGCUGAAGGCAAGCCUGAUGUUACAAUUGCCUUGCUUAAUUCCAGACAGGUUUCUAUUAAUCGUAUUAAAUUCGGGUGAACAAAGGGCAUUUAGUCUGUGAUAGAGCUGAACCAUAUCUGGAUUAAUAUAAACAAGAGAAUUAAUCCUGCAAGAGCCACUAUCUGCCAGCAAGUGGAAAGAUGUCAGCAGUGCCCUUGCUAAAGCAGGUUGGAGGGUGGAUGGCAGGAGAGAUUUAACAAGAUUGGUGCUGAGCAUCUGGACUCUGUAUAAAGAGGGG
This 2258-nucleotide long non-coding RNA is filed under the name Homo sapiens (human). Its description in RNAcentral is "HSALNT0351310". The record is from RNAcentral. Lineage: Eukaryota; Metazoa; Chordata; Mammalia; Primates; Hominidae.